GACGAACGCUGGCGGCGUGCUUAACACAUGCGAGUCGAACGGAAAGGCCCUGCUUUUGUGGGGUGCUCGAGUGGCGAACGGGUGAGUAACACGUGAGUAACCUGCCCUUGACUUUGGGAUAACUUCAGGAAACUGGGGCUAAUACCGGAUAGGAGCUCCUGCUGCAUGGUGGGGGUUGGAAAGUUUCGGCGGUUGGGGAUGGACUCGCGGCUUAUCAGCUUGUUGGUGGGGUAGUGGCUUACCAAGGCUUUGACGGGUAGCCGGCCUGAGAGGGUGACCGGCCACAUUGGGACUGAGAUACGGCCCAGACUCCUACGGGAGGCAGCAGUGGGGAAUAUUGCACAAUGGGCGGAAGCCUGAUGCAGCAACGCCGCGUGCGGGAUGACGGCCUUCGGGUUGUAAACCGCUUUCGCCUGUGACGAAGCGUGAGUGACGGUAAUGGGUAAACAAGCACCGGCUAACUACGUG
This 468-nucleotide ribosomal RNA is filed under the name uncultured bacterium. RNAcentral's name for it is "partial 16S ribosomal RNA". It matches the Rfam family "Bacterial small subunit ribosomal RNA", at positions 28 to 507 of the family's 1533-position model. The record is from RNAcentral.